AUGAACCCACGAGCUCCUGGUUGGAAUAAGAGGUUGAGGAUCGGUGCUGCCGCACCGAGCCGCCCACCAUGCCCAAACCGUGUCAGUGCAUUCGAGAAGGCUGUUCGGAACUAUGCUGAGAAUCCAAGAGACAAUGUGGUCACUCCGACUAUCGGCACGACAUUUGACUCGGUUGGAGAGGCAUAUGACUUCUACCAUUUGUAUUCCUGGGAGAAAGGUUUUGGCAUUCGUUAUGGCAAGAGCCGGCUGAAUGUGGAGAGGACAAAGUGCAUGCAAGAAAUAGUUCGUGGUUGCUCGGGCAAAGCUGGUGUUGAGAAUACAAGAUCAUGUCGAUGCGAAUGCCGUGCUCUGAUAAGGCUGCUACCAGCAGAAGAUAAUGGUUGGUUUAUUGCAGAGCAUAGGGAUACUCACAACCACUCACUGUCGCCAAACUUUGGCGAGACACUCGAUUAG
This 453-nucleotide ribosomal RNA is filed under the name Triticum aestivum (bread wheat). RNAcentral's name for it is "partial small subunit ribosomal RNA". The record is from RNAcentral. Lineage: Eukaryota; Viridiplantae; Streptophyta; Magnoliopsida; Poales; Poaceae.